This 397-nucleotide ribosomal RNA is filed under the name uncultured bacterium. Its description in RNAcentral is "partial 16S ribosomal RNA". It matches the Rfam family "Bacterial small subunit ribosomal RNA", at positions 523 to 918 of the family's 1533-position model. The record is from RNAcentral.
AUACGUAGGUGACAAGCGUUAUCCGGAUUUACUGGGCGUAAAGGGCGUGUAGGCGGUCUUGCAAGUCAGAAGUGAAAUUCCCGAGCUCAACUCGGGCGCUGCUUCUGAAACUGCAGGACUUGAGUGCUGGAGGGGAUAGCGGAAUUCCUAGUGGAGCGGUAAAAUGCGCAGAUAUUAGGAAGAACACCGGUGGCGAAGGCGGCUAUCUGGACAGUAACUGACGCUGAGGCGCGAAAGUGUGGGGAGCAAACAGGAUUAGAUACCCUGGUAGUCCACACUGUAAACGAUGAAUGCUAGGUGUAGGGGGUAUCGACCCCUUCUGUGCCUCAGUUAACACAAUAAGCAUUCCGCCUGGGGAGUACGGCCGCAAGGUUGAAACUCAAAUGAAUUGACGGGG